GGUUAUUUGAUAACUAUGGUCACAUCAGUUUUGGGAGAUAAACCGCUUCGGUUUGACACAAAAUGAAACCGUGCACCAACCAAACUGGUUCUUUUUUUGUUACUCAUGACGGUGUUCCAUAGUAGGACAAUGUUGACAAGUAAAUAACGUAAAAUCGACAACAGGUAAACGAAAUAAACAAACAAAAGCUUUGUAUGGUGACCUCGCGGAUUUUGUUGUGGUGUAAUUUCAUGGGCCACGUUUGGGUAUUAUUGUAACUUUUGAACUGAUUUUGUGACGUUGUAUUUACGGUGUCUAACCUUAAUCACGCCUAGAAACAGGGGUUUUAUAUCGUUUAAGGGAUUCUGUACUUUUAAAAGAUUUUCAAGUUUCCUGAAAGUAGGAAGAAAGAAACCGAAAUUAUGGACAAUGGUGGAUCGCUGACAUUCACAAGAUCUGGAACAAAGAAAUUAAAAAUCCUGGUUGUGAUUAUAGCUGUAAUAAUUAUUGUUGCAGCACUUUCAAUAUUAUUAGCCUUGUUUGUGCCUAGAAAUGACAUCAUCAGCAAUACGUCAGAAGAAAUGGAUACCAAAGUUAUGCAGAUUACAGAUGUUCAAGUAGCCAAUGAAACGUUCCAUGAAACUUGAUGAAACUCUUUAUUCAAUAGCAUUAAGGAUCGAAAUUGGCUUAUUCCGAUUUGAGUAUUUCCGAAUCGGCGAUAUCAUUGAAAUAUUUUUGUAUAUGGAUGUAAAUCAACAGACGGGGUCUCAGGCAUGGGAUGGAAUUUUGUAUAAUGGUAUUCAAAUAUUUUGCGAUGAAAGAAAGCAGGCUGUAUGUAACUGAAGAAUAGCUAACGCCUACCCGAAUCGUGUAUAUUUACUUAUAUUUCUCUUCUUGUCAAUGUGUUCAAAACAUUUAUAUUGGUAAUUUAAAAUAUAACAAAGAUUAUUAUAAAAUGUAGUUACUUUAGUAACGGAUUUUUAUCGACUCAAGCCUCUAUCCGUUACUGGCUGAUGCUAUAUACAAUUAAUAUGAAAAUAAGGCUUUUUCCCUAUCUCGGUUCUAAGGCUAUUUUAGAAUCCUUACCUUCUAUUUGUCAUCGUUAUUCUUCUUUGUUCGCGAAAGGGAAUCAUUUCUUGCCACAUCAGACACAAAUUUAUAAUAAUCUAACACUAUUUUCAUGUAGAAUAAAGCGAUCCACAAACACAAACAAAAUUCAUUUGAAAUGAUCUGCCAUUAUGAAACUCAAGCCUGCGCAGACCGGAGGUCACGGGUUCAUAGCCGCGCUCAGCCAAAAUUUCAAAUUUAUAAAUGGAAUGUUACCGUAAAAGAAAAUUCUUGGAUUAUUAUAAAUUUGUGUCGGAUAUGACAAGAAAUGAUUCCUUUUGGCAAACAAAGAAGAAUCACGGUGAAAAAUAGACGGUAGGGAUUCUAAAAUAGCCUUAGAACCGAGAUAGGGGGAAAGCCUUAUAUUAGUUGUAUAUAGCAUCAGCCAGUGACGAAUAUAGGCUAGACCAUUAAGAAUCCGUUACUAAAGUAACUAUAUAAAAUGGUGCGUGUAUGUAAUUUCUUUCACAAAUUAGUGCGGGAAUUAUUUCUAACCCGAUAACAAAGUGAGCCGGGUUACAAAGACCUUUAAAUGCUUGUUUUAUCCACCAAUUGAAAGUCGAUAUAGAACUUUUCUUUUCAGCAAACCUAUAGUAAAAAAAUAAAAUAAAUAACAUUCCAA
This is a long non-coding RNA of Patella vulgata (common limpet), 1708 nucleotides long. RefSeq lists it as uncharacterized. The record is from RefSeq and is a predicted model, not a curated record. The transcript is spliced from 2 exons. NCBI's taxonomy places the organism in Eukaryota, Metazoa, Mollusca, Gastropoda, Patellidae.